RNAcentral lists this long non-coding RNA (33042 nucleotides) under Triticum aestivum (bread wheat). RNAcentral describes it as "long non-coding RNA (TAES_LNC001511)". Lineage: Eukaryota; Viridiplantae; Streptophyta; Magnoliopsida; Poales; Poaceae. The record is from RNAcentral.
UUUUUUUGAGGUCAACUGGUCGACUCUAUCUUCAAUAGGAUUAGUGGGGGCACGCUGAGUGCACCCACUGGGUGUAGUCCCCGAGACUACGGUCGAAUGCUUGUAUUCGGCUGUAGUCUUAGAAAUGUGUGAUUUUUCCCUUUUUCACUCGGAAGUGAAUUGUUUUUGACAUCUAGUCGAUUGGUUCUUCGUAGAACUCCUGUGAUCUUGUGGCUCGCUACUCUGAGCUGGAAAACAAGCACACUCAACUCGAGCUGAACUUGAAGCUGGUUCAGGAGAAGCUGACGAAGGCAAAGGAGGAGACCGAAGGUAUGUUUGGUGAGACCCUGACGACUACUUUUCCCCUUGUUUGUUUCAAAAUCUGAUCUUGCUGUAACUUGCAGGUAAGGUAAGGGAGGCCCAACAGAAGAAAGACCUUGAACUAGCUGAGAAGAUCAAGCUUGCUGACGAGAAGUUAGCUUCAGUCACCAACCUUGAACAAGACAAUACCAAUCUGAAAGCUGCUCUUGGGAUCGCCAACAAGGAGGUCAGUCGACUGAAAACUGAUAAAGCUGCCCUGACCGACCAAGUCAGUAAGUUGACUGGGAAGAAAAAUGAUCUGGAGGCCUUCCUGAGUGGACUCGCCAAGAAGCUGUUUCUUAUGCUUGAAGGUAAACCUCUAUGCUCGGCAAUCAUUUCCAAUCGUGGUUUUUCCAUUCGACCAUUCCCUUGACUCAGUGAUCGUCCUUGCAGAAUUUUGCCAAAACUUUGAAGAAGAAACUAGCCGGCUGGAGCCAAACCUCGACCCCGUCAAUUCUCCGGUGAACGACGAAGUUGCCAUGGAUGUUUUCCGACUGGAGUCCCGUGUUGCAGCUGUCGUGGACUAUCUCGCAAGGCUGAAGGUCGCCACAUCUCGCAUCGACUCGACGGUCUGGCCCGGGGAGACACUUCAGAAUGACCUUGAGUCGCUGAUGGCUCGCUUGAACACGAUCCCUGGUCGAGUGCAGGAAUGGAAGAAGUCCUCGGCUCGGUGCGGUGCAGAUGUUGCUCUGUGUCUGGCCCGAGUCCACUGCAAAGAUGCGCGAGAAGAGAAGCUGGCGGCCCUCCGGGUGGCCAACACCAAGAAACACGACUUCAGGUCCUUUAUGGAAACUUUCCUUGCGGCUGCCACUCGGAUCGCAGACGGAAUUGAUCUUGAUGAGUUUGUUGCACCUUCCAGCCCUCCACAGGAGGGGUAAAAAACUUCUUCUAGCUCGACGCUUUAAAUUUGCCUCGGUAUGCCGAGUGGAAUUGUAACCGAUAAACCUUAACGGGCUUAACGCCUGAGCACUUUCGGUUCCUUUAGAUAUCGAUUCGAACUUGAAUUUGGUGCUUGAAUAUGAUUGCUUUUGGCUCGAAAUGUCUUUUGCAGGUUCAAAGCAGGGCGCCUUUACUGCAAUCGACUUAUUCCUUAGUCCACUUAGGCGAGCACUGGGCUGCGGCUAAGCCUCCGAGUGGAAGUUCGGCUUACCACUCGGUAGGAUUUUUAUAACUUAGGCGAGUACUUGGACUGCAUCUAAGCCUCCGAGUGAGAGGUUUGCUCUUCACUCGGUAGGAUUUUUAUAUCUUAGGCGAGCACUGGGCUGCAGCUAAGCCCCCGAGUGAGAGGUUUGCUCUUCACUCGGUAGGAUUUCGAUAACUUAGGCGAGUACUUGGACUGCAGCUAAGCCUCCGAGUGGAAGUCCGGCUUACCACUCGGUAGGAUUUUUAUAUCUUGGGCGAGCACUGGGCUGCAGCUAAGCCUCCGAGUGAGAGGUUUGCUCUUCACUCGGUAGGAUUUCGAUAACUUAGGCGAGUACUUGGACUGCAGCUAAGCCUCCGAGUGGAAGUCCGGCUUACCACUCGGUAGGAUUUUUAUAUCUUAGGCNNNNNNNNNNNNNNNNNNNNNNNNNNNNNNNNNNNNNNNNNNNNNNNNNNNNNNNNNNNNNNNNNNNNNNNNNNNNNNNNNNNNNNNNNNNNNNNNNNNNNNNNNNNNNNNNNNNNNNNNNNNNNNNNNNNNNNNNNNNNNNNNNNNNNNNNNNNNNNNNNNNNNNNNNNNNNNNNNNNNNNNNNNNNNNNNNNNNNNNNNNNNNNNNNNNNNNNNNNNNNNNNNNNNNNNNNNNNNNNNNNNNNNNNNNNNNNNNNNNNNNNNNNNNNNNNNNNUUUGAUAACUUAGGUGAGUACUUGGACUGCAGCUAAGCCUCCGAGUGGAAGUCCGGCUUACCACUCGGUAGGAAUUUUAUAUCUUAGGCGAGCACUGGGCUGCAGCUAAGCCUCCGAGUGAGAGGUUUGCUCUUCACUCGGUAGGAUUUUGAUAACUUAGGCGAGUGCUUGGACUGCGGCUAAGCCCCCGAGUGAGAGGUUUGCUCUUCACUCGGUAGGAUUUCGAUAACUUAGGCGAGUUCUUGGACUGCAGCUAAGCCCCCCGAGUGAGAGGUUUGCUCUUCACUCGGUAGGAUUUUUUACAAACUUAGACGAGCACAGGGCUGCAGCUAAGCCCCCGAGUGGAAGUCCGGCUUACCACUCGGUAGGAUUUCGAUAACUUAGGCGAAACGGAUUCGCAGCUAAGCCUCCGAGUGGGAGUCUGGCUCAUCACUCGGUAGGAUUUUUACAAACUUAGGCGAAACGGAUUCGCGGCUAAGUCACCCACUGAGGGGGAAUUUUAUUGGACAAAAAUAAAAAGUGAUGAAAAUUAUGGAGGAACUAUGACACUAUUAUUUUGAGGUCCAUGAACUACAAAAGUACUUUAUUGCAACUCAUCCGAGUGAUAAACCUUAAGUGUAAAAUGGGCGGAGUAGUUCCGCGUUCCAAGCUCGGGGCUCGUCGAUAUUAUGCUCGACGUUGUAAAGACGGUACGCCCCGUUGUGGAGAACCUUGGUGACGAUGAAGGGACCUUCCCAAGAAGGAGCAAGCUUGUGUGGUUUGUGCUGAUCCACUCGGAGAACCAAAUCUCCUUCCUGGAAGGCUCGACCUCUCACAUUUCUGGCGUGGAGACGACGCAAAUCUUGUUGGUAGAUGGUCGACCGGAUCAGAGCCAUCUCCCUUUCUUCCUCUAAAAGGUCGACUGCGUCCUGCCGCGCUUGUUCAGCCUCUGCUUCGUUGUAGAUUUCAACUCGAGGAGCAUUGUGGAGAAGAUCACUCGGCAAGACUGCUUCAGCUCCGUAGACCAAGAAGAAUGGAGUUCUUCCGGUCGACCGAUUAGGUGUGGUCCGCAGUCCCCAAAGCACUGAGGGAAGUUCGUCGACCCAAGCUCCAGCUGCAUGCUUGAGAUCACGCAUCAGUCGGGGUUUCAAUCCCUUGAGAAUCAGGCCAUUGGCUCGCUCUGCUUGUCCAUUCGACUGCGGAUGGGCGACUGAAGCGUAGUCGACCCGUGUGCCUUGAGAGUUACAGAAAUCUCUGAAUUCCUCCGAGUCAAAGUUCGACCCAUUAUUUGUAAUGAUACUGUGCGGGACUCCAUAUCUGAAUAUUAGUUCCCUGAUGAAGCUAACAGCAGUACCGGCGUCAAGGUUCUUGAUUGGUUUAGCCUCAAUCCACUUGGUGAACUUGUCGACUGCCACCAGUACAUGCGUGAAGCCACUUCGCCCUGUUCUCAAAGGACCGACCAUGUCCAACCCCCAUACCGCGAAAGGCCAGACGAGUGGGAUGGUCUUCAGAGCUGAUGCAGGCUUGUGCGACAUAUUCGAGUAGAACUGACAUCCCUCACACUUAUCCACUAUCUCCUUUGCCAUCUCAUUCGCCUUUGGCCAGUAAAAUCCGGCUCGGUAUGCUUUGGCCACGAUGGUCCGAGAGGACGCAUGAUGACCACAGGUCCCCGAGUGGAUAUCAUUGAGGAUGAGUCGACCUUCUUCUGGUGUUAUGCACUUCUGACCAACUCCAGUCGCGCUUUCUCUGUAUAAUUGUCCUUUGAUUACGGUAAAGGCCUUAGAUCGACGGACGAUCUGUCGAGCCUCUUCCUCAUCCUCCGGAAGCUCUUUUCUCGGGAUAUACGCGAUAUAUGGAACUGUCUAGUCGGGAAUGACCACCAAGACCUCCAUGAUCAAGUCGACCACCGCUGGGACUUCAACCUCAGUCGGAUCUGUGGCACUCUUGGGCUGUGGAGCUUCUUCGGUGAAAGGAUCUUCUUUGACUGACGGAGUGUGUAUAUGCUCCAAGAACACACCACUCGGAAUGGCUUCCCUCUUGGAACCUAUCUUUGCUAGAUCAUCAGCUGCUUGAUUUUUCAGUCGGGGUAUAUGAUGGAGCUCCAACCCCUCGAACUUCUUUUCCAGCUUCCUCACUGCACUGCAGUAUCCAGUCAUGGCUGGGCUUCUCACGUCCCACUCCUUCAUCACUUGGUUGACCACUAAAUCCGAGUCGCCAUAGACCAUCAGGCGACGGACGCCGAGUGAAAUGGCCAUGCGCAACCCAUAUAAGAGGGCCUCAUAUUCUGCCUCAUUGUUGGAGGAAUCAAAGUGAAUCUGGAGCACAUAUCUGAGCUUAUCUCCUCUGGGGGAAACCAGGACAACCCCAGCACCGGAACCAUUCAACAUCUUAGAUCCAUCAAAGAACAUGGUCCAAUGCUCCGAGUGAACUUCAGUCGGCUGCUGCUGUUCAAUCCACUCGGCGAGGAAAUCUGCUAUUGCCUGGGACUUAAUGGCUUUAUUUGCCUCAAACUUGAUAUCAAGGGGAAGAAGUUCAAUCGCCCAUUUAGCCACUCGACCAGUUGCAUCUCUGUUGUGCAAAAUCUCUGAUAGUGGAGCGUCGCUGACGACUGUGAUGGAAUGAUCAGAGAAAUAAUGAGCAACCUUCUUUGUGGUCAUGUAUAUUCCAUACACAAGCUUCUGAUAAUGAGGAUAUCUCUGCUUGGAUGGAGUCAAGACUUCAGACAAAUAAUACACUGGGCGCUGAACUUUGAGAGCUUUUCCUUCUUCUUCCCGCUCGACCGUUAGCACAGUACUGACAACUUGUCCUGUGGCUGCGAUAUAGAGCAACAGAGGCUCUUUGCUGAUUGGAGCAGCAAGCACCGGCUGGGUGGAGAGCAGAGCUUUUAGCUCGGCAAAUGCUGCAUCAGCUUCUGAAGUCCACUCGAACUUGUCUGCCUUCUUCAUCAGUCGGUAAAGAGGCAAUGCCUUUUCACCGAGUCGUGAGAUGAAUCGACUUAAUGCGGCCAAGCAUCCAGUAAGCUUCUGGACAUCGUGCACUCGCACAGGGCGUUUCAUUCGGAGAAUAGUGCCGAUCUUCUCUGGAUUAGCGUCGAUUCCUCGUUCGGAAACGAGAAAACCGAGUAACUUGCCACCAGGAACUCCAAAUGUGCACUUUGAUGGAUUGAGCUUGAUAUCAUACCUUCUGAGGUUGGCAAAUGUUUCAGCAAGAUCAGCGAGCAGGUCGGAACCUUUUCGUGACUUGACAACGAUAUCAUCCAUAUAUGCUUCCACAUUCCGACUGAUUUGAGUGAGUAGACACUUCUGAAUCAUUCGCAUAAAUGUGGCUCCGGCAUUCUUGAGGCCGAACGGCAUGGUGAUAUAGCAGAAGCACCCGAAUGGAGUGAUGAAAGCUGUUUUUACCUCGUCGGGUCCGUACAGACGGAUCUGGUGGUACCCGGAAUAGGCAUCUAGAAAAGAUAAUCUCUCGCAUCUCGCGGUCGAGUCAACAAUUUGAUCUAUGCGAGGGAGAGGAAAAUGAUCUUUCGGGCAGGCCCGGUUGAUGUGCUUGAAAUCAAUGCACAUUCGGAGCGACUUGUCCUUCUUAGGAACCAUGACGACAUUAGCGAGCCACUCGGAGUGGUAUAUCUCUUGGAUAAAUCCUGCUGCCAACAGUCGAGCCACUUCCUCACCAAUGGCUUUUCUCUUCUGGACGGCGGACCGCCGAAGAUGCUCUUUGACUGGUUUUGCAGAUGAGUCGACUCUUAGGCGAUGCUCAGCCAGUCCCCUGGGAACACCUGGCAUGUCAGCGGGCUUCCAUGCAAAAAUGUCCCAGUUCUCACGGAGGAACUGGAUGAGCGCUUCUUCCUAUUUUGGGUCGAGUGUUGUGGAGAUGUGGGUCGGAGCUGCAUCGGGGUCGGUCGGGUGAAUGUGAACAGGCUUCGUCUCACCGGACGACUGAAACACAGACUCUGUGGCAGGUUUCUUGGAUCGCAGCAAGUCACUCGGAUCUGCGUUUUGCUUGUAUUCCUCGAACUCGACCGCUGUCACCUGGGAAUCGGCAAUCUUUGAGCCCUUCUGAAAGCACUCUUCUGCCUUUUUCCGAUCACCGGUGACAGUGAUCACUCCUUUGGGGCCGGGCAUCUUCAAUUUGAGGUACACGUAACAUGGUCGAGCCAUGAACCGUGCGUAAGCUGGUCUCCCCAAAAUGGCAUGAUAUGCACUCUGAAAAUCCAUGACCUCAAACGUCAACUUUUCUUUGCGAAAAUGUUUCGAAUCACCAAACACCACAUCCAGAGCUAUUUGGCCGAGUGACUCGGCUUUCUUCCCUGGUAUAACUCCAUGAAAGCUCAUGUUACUGGUGCUCAGUCGGGACAUCGGAAUGCCCAUUCCUUUCAGUGUGUCUGCAUACAACAAAUUCAGCCCGCUUCCACCGUCCAUCAGCACUUUUGUCAGUCGAGUGCCUUCGACGACUGGAUCGACCACCAAAGCUUGCCUCCCAGGGGUGGCAAUAUGAGUCGGGUGAUCAGAUUGGUCGAAUGUGAUGGGUAUUUGGGACCAUUUCAGAUAAUUUGCUUUUGCUGGGGCAACCAUGUUCACCUCUCGGUUAAUGACUUUCAAUCGACUCUUGCUUUCCACAUCUGCAAAGAUCAUCAGAGUGGAGUUGAUAUGCGGAUAUCCUUCCUCACUGUCCUCCUUGUCUUCGGCCUUGUCCGACUCCUUCUCCUUGUCCUUAGACUGUUUUCCCUGAAACUGCUGGAUCAGGAGUUGACAUUGGCGAGUGGUAUGCUUCGGGUAGAUGAUAUUCCCCUCUUCGUCUUUCUUCGUGUGGAUGUGACACGGCAUAUCCAUCACGUCGUUCCCUUCUUUAUCCUUCACCUUCUUAGGGUUCCAGGAUCCUUUUGGUUUCCCUUUAAACUUUCCUUGAGUCACGGCCAGAGCCUCUCCAGGAGCUGCCGGUUCAGCCUUCCGCUUCUGUUUCCGACUGGUGUUUCCUUUUUCCGACUGACUCGGCUUGUGCUUGCCGCUUCGGAGUCGGUCUUCUUCUUCACCGUUGGCGUACUUGGUAGCAAUCUCCAUCAUCCGACUCAAGGUCAUGUCACCGGUUCGACCAAACUUCAAACUCAAUUCUCUGUUCUUGACGCCAUCUUUAAAGGCGCAGACUGCCUGAUGAUCAGACACAUUCUCCACAAUAUGGUGCAAAGUGAUCCAUCUCUGAAUGUACUCUCUGAGAGUCUCAUUGGUCUUCUGCACGCAGACUUGCAACUUUGUCAGUCCAGCUGGUCACUUGCAAGUUCCUUCAAACGUUCGGGACAGAUCUUCCCAAGUGUAAAUGCUGCUAGGAGGCAAUUGAGUCAACCAUGCCCUGGCAGAACCUUCCAGCAUGAGAGGCAAAUGCUUCAUGGCCACCUCAUCGUUCCCACCACCAAUCUGAACUACCACUCGGUAGUCCUCGAGCCAAGUUUCAGGCUUAGACUCACCAGUGAACUUGCUGACUCAUGUUGCCAACCUGAAAUUGGGAGGGAUAACUGCGGCUCUGAUAGCCCUGCUGAAACAUUCAGGACCAGAAACAUGCACUCGACUGCUUGUGGGCGAAUCUCUGUCGAGUCCACCUCGAUGGGCUCUGUUCCGGUCGACCAAACCUUGCACGAUAAUGGAUCGCGCGUCGAAGCCUGGUUCUCUGGGGUCGACUGGAACUCUUCGCCCCGCACUGAGCUGACGCCUGUCAUCUUGCUGCCGAGGAGUGUAAGACCCACCCCUCGGAGGGGAAUUGGGCACUCGACACCUAUCAUCUCGGUCGAGUCGGUCACCAUAUUGGUCUCGUCGAUUCUCGCGCCCUUCACGCCGCGGAGGCGAUCUGGGGCUGUGAGCCGACUGAACCGUAUUCGCAGCGACGGAUCGACUGUGAAUUCUGUUGCGCGACUACGACACGGCUGAAUUCUGAUCUCCUGCUGCCCGGAGCAGAUCCCUGAUCUGCAUCAAGCCUCUGCCAGCUUCCGACUGAGAAGGCUGGAUAGACUCUGCUAUACGGGUUGCAGCUGCUAAAUUCUGGAUUGGGGUUCGAUAUACCUGAGUCGGCGGGAAGAGUUGACGUCGACUGUUGUCGGGAACUCGUUGCCGCGCGCGCUCGUCGAGUGCUCGCUGAAGAUUCUCCAGUCGAGUGCGUUCGGCCAAGUUGGCCAAACGUGCCUCCUCCAAGGCGCGAGCCUCGGGGGUUUCUCCUGUGAUGGGUGUACGCAGGGCAUCCACGUUCCUGCGGCGAAGUUCCUCUCUUUGCAGAGAGUCGAGUGGCUCGGGCUGGUACUCUUCGUGGUCUCGUGCGGGGUCGCCUCCGUCGCCUGCUCCACCAUCACGGGCGAAGCCAGGGGACUGCGGGGCCCGUCGACCAUCAGGAUUUCCGCCGCAGGAUCACUGCUAUCGCACUCGGAUGCAGUCUCCACGGAGCCAGUCGACAGAUCGAACAAGCCGUAGAGAGAUUCGUCGGGCUCGAUUGCCGCAACAUGAGAGGUGGCCGUCUGGCGAGCCACCGCGUGCCUCACCCACCGCUGAAGCCUCGACCGGCCCGAGCGCUUGCGCUGGCGGGAGACCGGGAGGGUGGACGAUGGAGGAGUCGACCGAUACGGGGUCGACGGUUGCCGCAGCAGAACGCCGCGGACACAUGCGCGAAAAUGCGUCGCACCGCGGACGGGGAGCGCAUCAACGUCGAGUGGAGCCUCCUGGAGCCAGGCGGAGUCGUCGGCGAUGAAGGUGAGAGCGCCGAGACGGAUCUCUCGACCCUCGACCAAAACUCCAGCAGCCACCAUCAUGAAAGUACUCGGAAGAAUCGCAACUUCUCCACAAAAUCGCUAAAACACCUGCCCCAUGGUGGGCGCCAACUGUCGUGGUUCUAAGCCUGACAGUAGAGUGGGGGUAGGUAUGGAGAGGCAAGGUCCUAGCUAUGGAGAGGUUGUAAACACAAGGGAUGUACGAGUUCAGGCCCUUCUCGGAAGAAGUAAUAGCCCUACGUCUCGGAGCCCGGAGGCGGUCGAGUGGAUUAUGUGUAUAUGAGUUACAAGGUGCCGAACCCCUCUACCUGUGGAGGGGGUGGCUUAUAUAGAGUGCGCCAGGACCCCAGCCAGCCCACGUAGGAGAGGGUUUAAGGUGAGUUAAGUCUGGGGCGUUACUGGUAACGCCCCACAUAAAGUGUCUUUACUAUCAUAAAGUCUACUUAAUUACAGGCCGUUGCAGUGCAGAGUGCCUCUUGACCUUCUGGUGGUCGAGUGAGUCUUCGUGGUCGAGUCCUUCAAGUCAGUCGAGUGAGUCCCUCAUUGGUCGACUGGAAGGUGACCUCUUCUAAGGGUGUCCUUUGGCAAGGUACUUAGAUCAGGUCCGUGACCCUACCCUAGGUACAUGACCCCAUCAGCAGGGUCAACGCAACUGGACCCAGGACAUACGGCUUUGAUUUAUUUUUCAUUUUGUUUUGAGUGGGUUUUAUGUAAAUUUAUAGGGUUGUGUUUGGUAAUUUUUAAAAACUACUAUUUGAUAACAAACUUGGUGGUUCACUCCAGAGUUCUCCUUUGCUGCUCGGGAAAAAAGAACUUUGGUUUUGGGGUACACACGGUGACAGAGAACUUUGGUUUGCAGCUCACUUCGGUUUCCCCUAGCAGCUCACUUUGGUUUUACUUGCCUACGGUGCAGUGCAGUUCGUUGCAGCUCCCUCCAAAUGUUAAAAUUUCAGGGUGCACACGAUGCUGGAUAAAAAACAAAAACAAGCAAAAAAUAGUGUGGUUCACUUGCCUUAUCCUAGCGGUCCACUCGCCUCGUCCUCGAAGUGCGGAAGAAUUUCCAAAAUUAAAAAGAAAACAAAAAAUGUGUGUGGUUCAUUUUGCAGUGUGUUUGGUCCUUGGAUAUGGUCCAUUUUUGAGAGUGAUGUUGUUCACUUGCCCCAAAUAUGAAAAUGCAAAAAGUUUAGCGAAACAACAAGAUGGUAAUGCGGUUCACUUUGAUAUAUGGCACGGCUCAUUUGCCCUAGUCUCCGCGGUCCACUCUCGUUCAUAAAAAAAGUAAGAAAAAAAGACAACAAAACACGUAUGAGAAAAUUUACAUCCAGCAAAAGAAAUUAUGCAGCUCGCUUGUGAAAGGGCAUUUCCCUACUUUAUGUUUUGGAUGAUGAUGACAACCCUUUGUGGUCUAAACGUGUGCUAUAUGUUUCAGGUUCUCGAUGCUUAGGCUUACAUCGGAUUGCUAUUACCUCUCGAAGGAAAAGAUCGAAGACGUGUCCUCUACGUUUUUAUUUUCUUUGGUCGUAGAGUACCCGUACUAUCAAGAGGGAAUCCUCAUUAGGAAGCUCUGGGGGAAUCAGUUCACGUACACUUUUCUCACCCUCUCUUUGCCUUCCUCAGAUGUGUGAGAGUGAGAGUUUUCCUUGUCUCUUCCCCUCUUUCCUGCUCACUGUUUCUGCCCAGCGGUUGUACCGCUCUCUGGAGCGGUUGUACCGCUGGGUCUUGUCGCUCACCAGCUUUUGCUCGAGCGGUUGUACCGCUGCCUCCGGGUGGUGGUACCGCCACCAUGCUCUGCAACAGCUAGGGCGGUGGUUCCGUCCAUGUACCGCUCAAGUACCGCUCUCGCCUCUGGUUUGAUGUUGUUCUUGGGCGGUAGUGGCCCGGUUGGUCCAGUCGUUCCUCGAUGACCGGUACCACCGGUGGUCCGAGCGGUUCUUCCGCUCAGAACUUAGUCGCCCAAGAGCUCAAGGCCAUGCGGUUGUUCCGGCCAGGCACCGCCCAAGUACCGGUCAAGCCCCUGUUUUGAUGCGGUGGUUGUGCGGUAGCCAGGCGGUUAGUCCGGUUAUCUUUCUUAGCCGGUACUACCACCCGCCUGUCCGGUUGUACCGCUUGGUAGGGUUCUGCUGUUACACCGUGAGUCCCGAUUGUACCGGGACGAGGACCGGUUGUACCGCUGCAGUGCAAAAACGCAGUAACGGUUGGAUUUGUGGGGAGACUACUUAAGGGGGCUUCUCCCACCUACCACUUCUACCUUUGACCUCUCUCACUCCACCAUUGAUGCCCUUCAAGCUCUCUUGCCCGAUCUCUCUCUCUAGCCACUCAAACUUGUUGAUUUGCUAGGGAUUGAAGGAGGAGACCUAGAUCUACACUUCCACCAAAGGAUAUUUGGUUCCCCCAUACUUUCUUGUGUGGAUUUUGUUACUCUUGGGUGUUUGAGCACCCUAGACGGUUGAGGUCACCUCGGAGCCAUAUUCCAUUGUGGUGAAGCUUCGUGGUUUUGUUGGGAGCCUCCAAUUAAGUUGUGGAGAGAGCCCCAACCUUGUUUGUAAAGGUUCGGUAGCCGCCUUCAAAGGCACCAAUAGUGGAAUCACGGCAUCUCGCAUUGUGUGAGGGCGUGAGGAGAAUACGGUGGCCCUAGUGGCUUCUUGGGGAGCAUUGUGCCUCCACACCGCUCCAACGGAGACGUACUUCCUCUCAAAGGGAAGGAACUUCGGCAACACAUCCUCGUCUCCACCGUCUCCACUCUUGGUUAUCUCGUGCCUUUAUUUAAGCAAGCUUACUUGUUUCAUAUCUCUUGCUUGCUUGUGUACCUAUCCUCGUUGCAUCAUAUAGGUUGCUCACCUAGUUGCAUUUCUAGACAACCUAUUUUGAUGCAAAGUUUAACUUGUUAAAGAAAAGCUAAAAAUUGUUAGUUGCCUAUUCACCCCCCCCUCUAGUCAACCAUAUCAUUCCUUUCAAUUGGUAUCAGAACCUCAUCUCUUUAUUAAGGACUUUACCGUCCAAAGAGUAUGGUUGAUACCGUAGACGGUGUGGAGGAACACUCCGGUGUGAAUCCGAUCUCGUCUACGGGAGAUGGGGGAACUUCAGUCUCUCGUGAGGAGUUCAAUGUGGCCUUGGAGACAUUGAAAACCUCCAUGAUGACCGAAGUCGAAAGCAUGUUUACUAAAUUUCUUGAGGGGCUUAAACUAUCCACCGCACCGUUGAAAGUGGGUGAUCCCACCAACAAGGUGACAGAUGCUAUCCCCGACAAGGGGGAAGCUAGUAGUGAAAAGGCUCCUUCUUCUAGUGGCAAGAAUGGCACUGGCAUCUUUGCCCAUGUGGAACCACCACUUGUUUAUGGUGGACCAGUUCCUUCCACUCAUUUGAAUCAUGCCGGUCCUCCCCCUUAGAUUGUGAAAAAUGAGGAUUUUGAUUCUUGGGUUUACCGCUUUAAAUGUCAUUUAAAUCAUGUGAACACUAACCUUUGGAGAAUCAUUGAAGAAGGUUUCUAUCCACAUGAUCCAAGCAACUUCACUCCUCGAGAAGUCGCGGACAAUCAAUUCAAUGAGAAUGCUCUCUUCAUCAUUCAAGAUGCUAUUCCACCCGAAGACCUACCUCAUCUUCGUCCUUUCGCCUUGGCCAAAGAUGCAUGGCAUUGUGUCGUGUCUCUCUACCAGGGAAGCGCAAGCAUUCAAUGCUCCAACUAUGAAGUGGUACAAGAUGAGGCCGAUGAGUUUGCAAUGAAGGAAGAUGAAGAACCUCGUGAGCUCUAUCGGAGAGUAACCAAACUCGCGGUCUCACUACGAGAUCACGGGAGCAAGGACACGGAUGACAAUUGGAUCAAGCGCAAAUUCCUCAAGGCAAUGAUGCCCUAUCACAAGGCCAUGUCCUCCGUCAUUCGUCAAAGACCAGACUUCCACACUUUAACCUCAAGCGAAGUGUUGGAUGAGUUUGUGGCCAUGAACAUUUUGGACAAGACCGCCGACAAUGCGGUGCUCCGUUCUCAAUGGGCAAAGAAGCCUAACCUUGCAUUGAAGGCCAAGCUCAUAGUGGAAGACGAAGAAGAGGAAGAAGAGGAGAGCAACCCCGAAGAUACGAAGUAUGCAUAUCAUGAACACAUGGCACUUGCUUCAAGGCAAUUUUGGAGCAAGAAAAACUCAAGGCCAAACUUUAGCAAAAACAACUCGAGUGGUACAAGGGGCAAGCAACGUGUAAGGACUUUCUACAAUUGCGGCAACGUGAGUCAUUUCGUUGCGGAAUGUCCGUAUGAGAAGAGGGAAGACAAUGGUGGCAAACUCAUCCGAAAGGACAAGGCCAAGUCGUUCCCCAACAAGAACAACUUUACCAAGAAGACUCAUCCCAAGGCCUUGGUUGUGCAAGAAUAGUACAAUGAGGACGAUGACGAUGAUGAAGAUGAUGAGUCGGUUGCCAUGGCCUCCGUUGCCAUUGCAACAAUGUCACGGGUCUCUCUCUUCGACUCACCCAACGAGAGCAUCACCGCCAAGUGCCUCAUGGCUAAAGCCACCAACAAGGUAACCUCCAACAUCAAAACUACCAUCAUUAAUCAUCCCUCCCCAACGGAUAGCAUUAAUGAAUUUGAGGGAGCUAAUAUGGAGGCUAAUGAGUUUGAGGCCUUUAUGGGCAAACUCAAGGGAAAAUCCAAGAAGCACUUUAUUGCUCUCUUGGAACAACUUGGUGAGGCCAAUGACAUGAUCGAGGCUCACGAAGACACCAUCUCUAAGAUGGAAGGACAUAGUCGUGACUAUGCCGAUGAGAUUUUGGAUCUUUCCAGUGCUCUUGAGGAAGAGCGUGGUCUUCGUUUGGCUCUUGAGGAGUCACACAACGUAGAUCAUGCUAAGUUAGAGAAAGAUUAUGAUCAUGCCCUCGUUGUUUCUCGUGUGCUAAAUUCCGAGAAGGCCAAACUCGGGGUUGAUCUUGCUAGACUCAAAGAGGAGUUUGAUAUACUUGACAACGCCCAUAAGGCCUUGAAGGGUAUUCACGCUAGUCUCAAGGAGUCUCAUGAUCAACUCCAAGUGAAGCUAACUAAGGAGAAAGCAACUUUUCCUCAUAUGGUUUUAAUUGAUAAUGCAAAUGCUACUAACCCGUGUUGUGAGCAUAUACAUCUUGUUGAGGAAAAUGCUAAGUUGAAGGAGCAACUUGAGAGAGGUCUUGCGACUUGCAUACAAGGCAAGAAGAAACUCAACGAUCUCUUGACCAACCAAAAGGGAGGUGUGGCCAAGGAAGGGGUUGGGUACGUCCCCGACUCCAAGAACAAGAAGAAGAAUGACAAGACCAAACGGCCUCCUCCUCUCAUGCAAACCUUUGUGAGGGAGGGAGAGAGUGCCCCCGAGGAGAAGAAGAAGAAUAAUGUCAAGAAGGGCAAUGUCACCCCUCCCAACAAAGCCGGCGAUUUUAAUCCUUCUUAUGUGUUAUGCCGUGCUAGUGAUGGGCAUGUUUAUGCCAAAUUUGUUGGUUCUCUUCAUGAAUACAUUGAAUGGUCUAUUUGGGUUCCUAAGACCCUUGUUACUAACAUCAAAGGACCCAUUACAAAAUGGGUACCUAAAACCAAGCAUUGAUCUCUUGUAGGUGUUUGCUUCCGGUGGUGGAUCAUGGUUGCUUGAUAGCGGAGCUACAAAUCAUAUGACCGGAAGCAAGGACUUGGUGGUGGACGUGCACAAGGUUCCAUCUAUGCCCACCAAUGUCGAGUGGGGUGAUGCCUCAUCUUCUAAGGUAUUGGGACUUGGCAAGGUGGUCAUCUCUCAUGAUCUCACGAUCGAGAAGGUCAUGCUUGUUGAGUCCCUUGCAUACAAUUUACUCUCCGUUCGUCAACUUGCAAUCAUGGGCUUUGCCACUUUCUUUGAUAUCGAUACCGUGGCCCUCUUGUGGAGCAAGACUCUUAAAGUAGCCUUUGUUGGGCAUGUCGAGAACGGUCUAUAUGUGAUUAACUUUUCGGAGCGACCCACUAAGACCGCGACAUGCCUAAUGGCUAAAGUUGAUGUGGGAUGGCUUUGGCAUCGCCGUUUAGCCCAUGUCAAUAUGAGAUCUUUGCAAAGUCUCCUCAAGGGGGGCCAUGUCCAUGGACUAACGAAUGUUAGUUUUGCUAAAGAUCGUGCUUGCAGUGCCUGUAUCGAAGGAAAGCUAUAUGAGAAGGCUCACCCUCCCACGAAUAUCAUUUAUUCAAAGAGGCCUUUGGAGUUCCUUCACAUGGAUCUCUUUGGGCCUCCAUCCUUCGAUAGUCUUGGAGGUAGGAAGUAUUGCUUGGUGAUUGUGGAUGACUACUCAAGGUACACGUGGGUGUAUUUCUUCAAGAGGAAGAGCGAGACCCAACAAACCGUCAUUGACUUUGCAAAUGAAGCACAACGUCAACACAAUGCAAAGAUCUUGACAAUAAGAAGUGACAACGGCACCGAGUUCAAGAACUACACCUUGGAUGAAUUUCUUAGUGAUGAGGGAAUCAAGCAUCAAUAUUCCGCACCAUACACCCCUCAACAAAACGGUGUUGCGAAAAGGAAGAACCGGACGUUGAUGGAUGCGGCAAGGACCAUGAUGGCGGAGUUCAAGUCUCCGUACAACUUUUGGGCCGAAGCCAUCAACACCGCAUGUCAUGCAUCCAAUCGGCUCUACCUCUGCAAGGGCUUGAACAAGACUCCAUAUGAUAUACUCACCGGUAACAAGCCCAACCUCAAGUACUUCCAGGUGUUCGGGUGUAAGUGUUUCAUUCUCAAGAAAGGUGUUCGGUUGUCUAAAUUUGAGGCUAGAGCUCAUGAGGGCAUAUUUGUUGGUUAUGCUACAAACUCUCAUGCUUACCGUCUCCUCAAUAAAUCCAUGGGACUUAUUGAGGAGACGUGUAACGUGGAGUUUGAUGAGAAUAACGGCUCCCAAGUGGAGCAAAGUGGCACUUGUGAUGUAGGUGAUGAAAUUCCUCCUCAAGCCAUAAGAAGAAUGGGUGUUGGUUUUAUCCUACCCAUUGAGGAACCCCUUGUGGCCGAAGGAGAAGGACAAUGCUCCACUCAAGUGGAGCCAUCACCAACCCAAGGCCCACACGCUUUCGAAGAACAAAGUGAAGGCCCUCAACCUCAUGAACAAGACCAAGGGCAAGAUCAUACUCAAGACGGUGUUGACACACCAAGUGAUGCCCAAGGUCAAGUUCUCUCCCCCGAGCAAGUUCAAGAUCAAGAACAAGUUCAUGACGGCGCUCAAGAUGAUCAAGUAACCGCUCCUCAACUCACCACCGAGGAGGAAUUAGAGCGUCGUGCCGCUAAGAUUGCAUCCAAGCUCUCUACCAAGGAUCAUCUCAUGACGAAUGUGCUUGGAAGCUUAAGAAAGGGGGUAAGCACUCGUACAAAAUUAGCAAAUUAUUGUGAGCAUCACGCGUUUGUCUCUUGUGUGGAACCCCACAAGGUCUAUGAGGCGCUAGAAGAUCCGAAUUGGCUCAAUGUCAUGCACGACGAACUCAACAACUUCAAGCGCAACAAAGUGUGGAGAUUGGUGCCAAGGCCAACGGGGAAUCACAAUGUCAUUGGAACCAAGUGGAUAUUCAAGAACAAGCAAGAUGCCCAUGGUAUUAUCAUUCGCAACAAGGCUCGUUUGGUAGCACAAGGCUACUCCCAAGUCGAGGGUAUCGACUACGGUGAAACCUUUGCUCCCGUUGCUCGUCUUGAAUCCAUUCGCUUGUUAAUUGCAUAUGCUUCUCAUCAUAAUUUUAAGUUACAACAAAUGGAUGUGAAGAGUGCUUUUCUUAAUGGUCCCAUUAAUGAAUUGGUUUACGUCAAGCAACCCCCCGGGUUCGAGGAUCCCUACUUUCCCGAUCAUGUGUAUCAACUCGAUAAGGCGCUCUAUGGCCUUAAACAAGCCCCACGUGCGUGGUAUGACCACCUUACCGAGUUGUUACAAGACCGUGGUUUUGAAGUUGGGCUAAUCGACCCCACUCUUUUUACUAAGAAGGUCAAAGGGGAGUUGUUUGUGUGCCAAUUAUAUGUUGAUGAUAUUAUCUUUGGUUCUCCUAACAAAGCUUUCAAUGAGGAAUUUGCCGCUCUCAUGACCUCAAAGUUCGAGAUGUCCUCCAUGGGAGAGUUGAAGUUCUUUCUAGGGUUCGAAGUGAAGCAAAGAAGAGAAGGAACUUUCAUCAAUCAAUCCAAAUACACUCAAGACAUGCUCAAGAGAUUCAAGCUAAGUGACGUCAAGCCGGCUACCACUCCAAUGCCCACCAAGUGCCAACUUGACUUAGAUCCCAAUGGUAAAGUGGUGGAUCAAAAGGUAUAUCAUUCCAUGAUUGGAUCCUUGCUUUACCUUUGUGCAUCUAGACCGGACAUCAUGUUGAGUGUGGGAAUUUGUGCACAGUUUCAAGCCGCACCUAAGGAAAGUCACUAUGUGGCGGUCAAACGAAUCUUUUGAUAUUUGGCUCAUACCCCAAACUUUGGCCUAUGGUACCCAAGAGGAUCAAACUUCAAGCUUGUAGGGUACUCGGAUUCCGAUUGGGCGGGAGACAAAGUGGAUAGGAAGUCCACUUCCGGAGGGUGCCAAUUCCUUGGUUGCUCUUUGGUAAGUUGGUCUUCCAAAAAGCAAAGUUGUGUGUCUCUCUCAUCCACUGAGGCGGAGUAUGUUGCCGCCGGUAGUUGUUGUGCUCAACUCCUAUGGAUGAGGCAAACUUUAAAGGAUUACGGUGUCACUUGUGACAAAGUGUCUCUUUGGUGCGACAAUGAAAGUGCCAUCAAGAUCUCUCUUAAUCCGGUGCAACAUUUCAAGACGAAGCAUAUUGAGAUCCGGGAUCACAUUAGACGAGGAGAGAUCGAGCUCAACUAUGUCAACACUCAUGACAACCUUGCAGAUAUUUUCACGAAGCCCUUGGAUGAAGCAAGAUUUCGCGAGUUAAGGCAUGAGCUAAAUAUCAUUGAUUCGAGCAAUGUGGCUUGAACCCUUGCACACCCUACCACGCUCAACUUGUUGUAUAGUUUAGGUGUAGGCAUGGACAUAGGGGGAGUGUUGUUCUCUCAAUGAACUCUCCCUCCCCCCAUUAUGCAUAAAUUGAUUGUGUCUUUCACAUUAGCCAUAUUUGAUGGUACUUGUGCUUCAAAGACGAUUUUUGGUCAUGGACCCAAGGAUAAUUCUUCGCGGUGCCAUACCAAUUGACUCAAACAUAGGUGGCCUCGACCACCGUCCUCUCUUCGGGGAGUUGAGGUUAGCCUUGCUGCUCUCGUGUUGUUUUCUCUCUUUCUCUCUUUGCUCUUUGUGUUAGGUUCUCCUAGGGUGUUGUUUCUCUCAUGUUUUUGUGCCCCUUCUUCCUCCCUUCGGAUUGCACUCAUUUGAUCUUGGCUUGGGCUUAGGUGGUCAGUCGGUACAACCGGUACCACGAGCGGUUCUACCGCUGGUACCGGGUUGUGCUAUCCCAAGGGUUUCCGUUUGGUGCCUGGGCGGUUCCACCGCACACUCCCACGGUAACCCACGUCCGGUACUACCGGUUGUUGCCGUGCGGUACUACCGCUGCCUUCCAGGCACCGGAAGUACUGCCUCCAUCCACCGGUCUGUACCAGACAAGCGGUACAACCGCUCCCCUAAGCGGUUCUACCGGGGCGUGCGUACGGGCCUAUAUAUUCUCGACGGGGCUGAAGGGCUGUCCUUUUUCCCUUCGUCCUCGUUCCUCUUUUUCUUGCCCUAGCCGCCGGCCAUCUCUACCCCUGCCCCGGAGUGCGUCUCGCGCUUCGGAUCCUUGGCUCUCCGUGGAUUCUCUCUGUAGAGGCCUUCCGAUCUCUUCCCAUGGAUGGUGGUAUUGCCUCGUGCUCUUUGCCUCUAGUUUUUGUUUAGGGUUAUUCCUUGCCUAGGGCUUUUCCCAUCUUUCCGCGUUUAGUGUUCGUUCUAUGGCUUAGAAGAGUUCUUUGUUAGCCUCCUGUCUUGUUUGCAGCACUUAGAAUUCGGAAUAUUGCUUGUGUGAUUCGUAUGACUCGGUUAGAUCUAUCUUCCCUGGUAGUGCCACUGUUAGUGGUUCUACCGCCCCUACGGGCGGUACAACCGCUGGAGCGGUACUACCGCCUCUACGGGCGGUACAACCGCUGGAGCGGUACUACCGGCGGAAGAUCUGGUACAACCGGAGUAUAUCAACCACUAAGCACUGCUCUAUCUUCUCUGUUGUUGCAACUUGUUCCUUUUUUGCUAGUGGGUGCAAUCCUCUCAUCCUUGUUGGGUUUUUGUGUGUUCUUUUCGUGUGUGUGUGUUCAGGUGGCUCUAGUUCUCGCUCUGCUCCUCGCAAGACCAAGAAGAGGGCACGAAGGACCUUGCGACCGGUUGUGUCAGAUGAUGAAGAAGUUGUGAUUCCCACCAAGCCCACUCGCCGUGAAAAGUCUGCAGCUGCUAAGCAACGUGUUGUCAUGCCGUUGCAUCACUGGAAAGCCAAGGAUUGGGAAGCCUACCGCUCAAAGAAUCCGUAUGAGGUUCCCAUUGCUCCUCGUUGGACCACUGUUCAAUUCCGGAAUGAGAUGCAAGUGCGGAUUGUUCAUGAACUCUUUGAGCACAACAAGAACAGAUAUGCUAAGCAGUGGACAAUUGAUUUUGAUCAUUGGAGAAACAACAUGGAGUAUUUUGGUGAGGCACUAGCUCUCUGCGAGGAGUUUGAUCUUGUCAAGAUCAUGUCAGUCAACUGUGACUUUGAUGUUCAACUUAUCCAUCAUUUCUAUGCCACGGUUCACUUUGGAGAAGAUGAUGCGCGCACUCUCACCUUCAUGUGUCGCGAUGAAUUGUUUCACGUUCCCUGGAGGGCUUUCUGCAAUGCUAUUGGGUACGAGGAUACCGGUCUGCAAGGAAGGGGUGGCAUUCGCCCUCAUGAUUUUCCUGAGUCCAUGCCUAAGGAGAAGCUUGCCCCUCUGUACAUUAGGGGCCGUGGGAUUAUUGGAGAAUCCAAGGAUUUGGAGAAGGUCUAUGACAUCAUGCACCGAGUGUUCUGCAAUGUGCUCUUGCCCAAGGUGGGCAAUCAAGAUGAGAUUCAUGGCUAUCUGGUUGAUUUGAUGGUUGCUAUGAAGACCAUGGUGGGGACAGGGGCAACGUUUGAUGUGUCCAAUUGGCUGUGGCAUGAGAUGUACAACAUGGUCAUCUACCGUAAAGUCCCAAUCUACGCUCCGUUUGUCAUGUGCUUUCUGAACUCUGUGUGGGCUGUUCAUCGUCCUGGAGAGCUCCUCACUUCUCCAGACAACCUCACUGUUCAUGAGGUCAAGCUCCUUAAGAAGAAGAAGCAUGCCGAGCCUCGCUUCCCUGAACAUGCUCCUGAGGAUGUCUAUGCUACUUCUAACGAUGAGAACUUUGAGCUGGAGCCAGGGGCCAAGCCUUCGUGGGUGGCCAAACUUACUACCAAGGUAAAGAAGACCUUUUGUCUCCAGGCUGACAUCCAGAAGAAGAUGUAUGAGGCACAUGUCAAUGAGAAGCUCGCACAGCGUCGCCAAAUUGCAAUGAUGAAGCACCUCAACAUACAGGUUCAGAGUGGCUCUGAGAAGAGCAUCACCCCAGAGGAGCGUUGGAUCUCUACCCAUAGCACCUGGACUGAUGAUGAAGCCCCCUCCCCAGCCAUCAUCCUCGUUUGCAGCAACUGACAAUGCCAUGGGAUUAUCUGAUCACGACGACGAUGAAGACUCUGGUGAUGAAGAUCCAGAUGCGACUGAGGAAUCAGAGGAGGACGCCUGAGCUUUGGGUCGCUAGCUUCGCUCUUUUCCUUUUUGGUGUCUUGAUGCCAAAGGGGGAGAGGGUUCUAUAGGUCUCGGGGAUUUGCUUGGGUUGUUUUCUCUUGUUCUUGUGUUUUUGUGUUUGUUCGUGGACUCCGUGCUGUGUGUGAGACUUGCUAGACUUGCUACUCCGUUUAUUCGUAGGUCUUUAUCUUAUUAUUGCCUCUAAGUAUUAUAUUGUCUAUCCUUUUGAGCUCAGAGUGAUGAGUCUAUAAAAUCUAGGGGGAGUCUAGUCCCGAAAGUGUGCCCAUGCUUUCUAAAAAAGCUAGUACUUGUUGGGGCACACAUUCAGGGGGAGUUCCGUCUAGAUUUCAUUGACUUAUCUCUUGCAAAUCGUGUUGUUGUCAUCAUCCACCAAAAAGGGGGAGAUUGAAAGGGCAUUUCCCUACUUUAUGUUUUGGAUGAUGAUGACAACCCUUUGUGGUCUAAACGUGUGCUAUAUGUUUCAGGUUCUCGAUGCUUAGGCUUACAUCGGAUUGCUAUUACCUCUCGAAGGAAAAGAUCGAAGACGUGUCCUCUACGUUUUUAUUUUCUUUGGUCAUAGAGUACCCGUACUAUCAAGAGGGAACCCUCAUUAGGAAGCUCUGGGGGAAUCAGUUCACGUACACUUUUCUCACCUUCUCUUUGCCUUCCUCAGAUGUGUGAGAGUGAGAGUUUUCCUUGUCUCUUCCCCUCUUUCCUGCUCACUGUUUCUGCCCAGCGGUUGUACCGCUCUCUGGAGCGGUUGUACCGCUGGGUCUUGUCGCUCACCAGCUUUUGCUCGAGCGGUUGUACCGCUGCCUCCGGGCGGUGGUACCGCCACCAUGCUCUGCAACAGCUAGGGCGGUGGUUCCGUCCAUGUACCGCUCAAGUACCGCUCUCGCCUUUGGUUUGAUGCUGUUCUUGGGCCGUAGUGGCCCGGUUGGUCUGGUCGUUCCUCGAUGACCGGUACCACCGGUGGUCCGAGCGGUUCUUCCGCUCAGAACUUAGCCGCCCAAGAGCUCAAGGCCAUGCGGUUGUUCCGGCCAGGCACCGCCCAAGUACCGGUUAAGCCCCUAUUUUGAUGCGGUGGUUGUGCGGUAGCCAGGCGGUUAGUCCGGUUAUCUUUCUUAGCCGGUACUACCGCCCGCCUGUCCGGUUGUACCGCUUGGUAGGGUUCUGCCGUUACACCAUGAGUCCCGGUUGUACCGGGACGAGGACCGGUUGUACCGCUGCAGUGCAAAAACGCAGUAACGGUUGGAUUUGUGGGGAGACUACUUAAGGGGGCUUCUCCCACCUACCACUUCUACCUUUGACCUCUCUCACUCCACCAUUGAUGCCCUUCAAGCUCUCUUGCCCGAUCUCUCUCUCUCUAGCCACUCAAACUUGUUGAUUUGCUAGGGAUUGAAGGAGGAGACCUAGAUCUACACUUCCACCAAAGGAUAUUUGGUUCCCCCAUACUUUCUUGUGUGGAUUUUGAUACUCUUGGGAGUUUGAGCACCCUAGACGGUUGAGGUCACCUCGGAGCCAUAUUCCAUUGUGGUGAAGCUUCGUGGUUUUGUUGGGAGCCUCCAAUUAAGUUGUGGAGAGAGCCCCAACCUUGUUUGUAAAGGUUCGGUAGCCGCCUUCAAAGGCACCAAUAGUGGAAUCACGGCAUCUCGCAUUGUGUGAGGGCGUGAGGAGAAUACGGUAGCCCUGGUGGCUUCUUGGGGAGCAUUGUGCCUCCACACCGCUCCAGCGGAGACAUACUUCCUCUCAAAGGGAAGGAACUUCGGCAACACAUCCUCGUCUCCACCGUCUCCACUCUUGGUUAUCUCGUGCCUUUAUUUAAGCAAGCUUACUUGUUUCAUAUCUCUUGCUUGCUUGUGUAUCUAUCCUCGUUGCAUCAUAUAGGUUGCUCACCUAGUUGCAUUUCUAGACAACCUAUUUUGAUGCAAAGUUUAACUUGUUAAAGAAAAGCUAAAAAUUGUUAGUUGCCUAUUCACCCCCCCCCUUCUAGUCAACCAUAUCGUUCCUUUCAGCUUGCCCGUCCGAUGCAGUGUGGUUUUCAUUCUAGAGCAGUGCGGUCUGCCGUAUGAUGUUGUUCAUCCCGUAAGUGCAAAAAAAUUGUUGCGGAAGCGGAAAAAAGUAAUGCGGUUCACUUCUAGAUAGUGUUGUGGUUUGUUUACACCCGAUGUGAAGUGCACUCUACUUUUUCAUCCUUGAAAAAAUUACGUUUGAAUAAAAUAAACCAUGCAGUUCUCUAACACGUCUGAUGCAGUGCAGUUUUUCAUCCGAUGGAGUGCGGUUUUCAAUCGGAUGAAGUACCCACGUUGAUUUGGGUGUCGCAAAAAACAGUGUCCACAUUUCGGUAAAUUUAAAACUUCUCUUAAACCGUAAGAAAUUAGAGAGAGUGUUCUACAUGAAAAAGUCGUCUUGUCGAUAUCUUUCCAACGGCAUAUCAUUUGAAUCAUUUCGACAACAGGUUUGCAAAACAUUCGUGAAAAACGGCCGCUGUCACUCGUCGUCCAUCGCACGAUUUUUAAAAUUAACUUAAAACCGUAAGGAAUCUCAAAAACAUUUCAACAUAUGAAAGUUGCGCCUCGUCCAUAGCUUUUCAACGGUAUAUUACACGCCUCGUUUCGACAAACGGUUAAAAAACUGGAGCGAAAACAGUACCAAAAAUUUAAAAAAAUUUGAAAAACAAAAUUCCGUGAUUUAAUAAAUUUGAAACUGCUCUUAAACCGUAACGAAUUAGAGAAAAUAAUAGUUAUGAAAAAGAUGCGCCUCGACGAUAUGUAUCCAACGGUGUAUCAUUUGCCUCAUUCCGAUGAGCGAUUUAGAAAAAAAACGCGAAAAAACGUUCGCUGCCACUCUUUGUGGGCCGCACCAUUUUUGAAACUGCUCUUAAACCACAGGGAAUAUCGAAAAGUGUUCAACAUGGAGAAGUUGCGCCUAAUCCGUAGCUUUCCAAGGGUAUAUUACACAGCUCGUUCCGAUAAACAGUUAAAAAAUUAGAGCAAAAACAGCACCGAAAAACACUACGCGCAGUUUUUUCCGACGCGAAGUUCACUAGUCUGUGUAAUGCAGUGUUCUUGCUAAAGAAAGUGCAGUGCCCUCAUGUUUAGCAUGUAAUGCAGAAGUGUUAUCAGAAUAACUAUUCUGAUAAUAUUAUCAGAAUAGACGGACUGUAUAUAUAUAACAUGGAUCAUCAAAAAAUAUUUUAUAUACUUAUUAGGUAUAUUCAGAGUAUCACACAAAAAAACACAAUUUUGAGAGAAGAAACCGAAUGUACUUGGUUUAUGUUGGAUUACUUCCAUGUUUUUAUCUUUUGUCGGACAAUUUUCCUUGACCUAUAUAAAUAAAUUAAAAUGAUUCAAGAAAUUUCAGAUGAGUGCUUAUUUAUAUAUGAACAUUAUAGUUGAUUUUUUUCUCAGGGAGAAAUACAACAUCUUUUUAAUAUGAAAAUUGGAUUUUCUAUUUUACAAAAUAAAACAGUUGUGUUAGUUUCACUUUUAUUUUUAUUAUAUAUAUAUAUAUGAUGCAAUAUAAAAUAUCAUCUAUAUUUCAUCAAAGAUAGAAAGUGAUGGGUUCCGACAUACGCACUGAUGUAACGAUGACAGGCCGAACUGAAACACCACGAGAAGAGAUGCAUAUAGCUAAUCCUUCUUUGUAUGUAUGUUAUACAUGAUAAUACAAAAGGUAUAUUUUUUAUAUAUCAUUUUUUAUAAUAUAGGAGACAUAAAUAUGGUAUUUGGAGAUCCAUAGAAAGAAUCCAUCGACAAGGGUUUCGAGGCGACAUCGCUGAAUGGGGUCGAAAAUUCAUCGAGAUUCUUACAACAUAAUGACGUGGAAGCGGUGAUAUCUCAUAAAACAAAACAAAAAAGGAUGUCAAUUUAAAUGUUACCGCACAAGGUAUUUUUUCAGUGUUAUUAUCAAUUUUUUCUUAAUCAUAUUGCCUAAUUUGGCUCAUUUUUGUAUCAUGCCGAGAGACUAUGUUUGUACACACUAGAGAUAUUACAGUCAUCGAAUUAAUCAUGUCUGCUCUCAAGGAAACUAAGUUCUUGGACAUUGGAGAUGCCUUGUUAUCAAACAACGAUUUGGAAUGCCUUAUGAAAGAUGAUAUAUUCUUACACGAUAGUGUAAGACCAAUUGCCUAAACUUUGUAAUUAAUAAUAUGAACAAUAUAUAAUAUCAUAAAACAUAAAUAUAAUCUAAACAUGGAAUUACAGAUGAUAAAUGCUUAUAUAUAUUGUAUGAUUGCUCGCGACCAUCUAUGAGACAGAGUGGGUGAAAAGGUACAUAUUAUUAGCAUGUUUGUAUCUGUCUAGAUAAAAGAAGAUGGGAAAAAGAUAUAGACCCAUCAAAAUAUCGUCACAUCGUACAACAUGUUAAUACUUAUCUACAACAAGAUAUGGUUAGUCAUUACCCAUGCAUAUAAUUAUGUACUAUUUUUAAUUAAUCCAUGUGUAUAAUUAUUUAUUAUUAUUUAUAUCUAAUUGUGACUGCGACUUAUAUGAUAUUUACACCAGCUAUUCAUUCUGAGUAACAUCCCGAGGUACCAUUGGUAUCUAGCAGUCAUCAAUGACAAAAAAAACAUGAGAUUCGUGUAUUGGACUCACUUGGUUCUCGAGUCAAACGAAGUGACCUUACUACUAUAGUAACUAUCUAUUGUUUUUGGUCCUCUUGACAUAUGUCUUGUUUGCCUUAAUCCCUACUAUUUUCCAUAUAGAAAAUAGUUACUAGGACUCAGAAGCAUCUGAAACUUGGAGAACAGAGUCCGGGGUUUAAUAGAGAUCAUAAGUGGCUCGAUCUCAAUGUUACAAAAUGGAGGGUCGCAGAACAGUUCGAUAAGGCAAUAGAAAUGGAUGGGUCAGCACUUGUCACAAAAAGAAAAUUAUUGUGUUUGCUACUCAUGAACACAAAGAUAUCAUGUAACAGAAAAUAUUGAUAGUAAAAUGUCGUAGUGUAUCUAUUAGCUGAUGCAAGUAGGUGGGUGUAAUGAACACUAUUAUUUGUUCAAAUGAUUUGUUUAUUUGAUUCAUCUGGGUGAUAUUCUAAAGCAUUAUUUUAUAAUAUUAUAGGGUAUCAUGUGGACUGUUUAUGCUAAAUUAUAUGGAAUAUUGGACAUUAGAUGCACUGUCGGAUUAGUUCACCCAGGUAUUUCAUUUAUAUACAUUAUCUUAUUAUUUUAUCUCAAAAUAUUAUACCAAAUUUAAUUUAAUUUUAUAUUUUACAAGAGGAUAUGAAAUACUUCCGGCGAAAAUUAGUUGUCAUUUUGCUCGAUUCAGAACUGAAUAAGCUAAAAGGAUGUCCGAUAUACCAUCAAUCUGACAAUGAAGAAAGUUUAUCUAAUUCUGAUCUGAGCUCCUGGAGAAUCCACCUGAUGGAGUCAAGGACAGACGCCCUACCCCGAUCCUAAUCAUACCAAUGGAUCAAUGUGAAUUACUUGACGGCCUCUACAACUACAUCAUGUCGAUUGAUGAUGCCAAGUGUUUGGAAUAAGUAUCAUUUAUCUGAAGGAAAUAUGCCCUAGAGGCAAUAAUAAAGUUAUUAUUUAUUUCCUUAUAUCAUGAUAAAAGUUUAUUAUUCAUGCUAGAAUUGUAUUAACCGGAAACAUAAUACAUGUGUGAAUACAUAGACAAACAGAGUGUCACUAGUAUGCCUCUACUUGACUAGCUCGUUAAUCAAAGAUGGUUAUGUUUCCUAACCAUGGACAAAGAGUUGUUAUUUGAUUAACGGGAUCACAUCAUUAGUUGAAUGAUCUGAUUGACAUGACCGAUUCCAUUAGCUUAGCACCCGAUCGUUUAGUAUGUUGCUAUUGCUUUCUUCAUGACUUAUACAUGUUCCUAUGACUAUGAGAUUAUGCAACUCCCGUUUGCCAGAGGAACACUUUGUGUGCUACCAAACGUCACAACGUAACUGGGUGAUUAUAAAGGAGCUCUACAGGUGUCUCCAAAGGUACAUAUUGGGUUGGCGUAUUUCGAGAUUAGGAUUUGUCACUCCGAUUGUCGGAGAGGUAUCUCUGGGCCCUCUCGGUAAUGCACAUCACUUAAGCCUUGCAAGCAUUGCAACUAAUGAGUUAGUUGCGGGAUGAUGUAUUACAGAACGAGUAAAGAGACUUGCCGGUAACGAGAUUGAACUAGGUAUUGAGAUACCGACGAUCGAAUCUCGGGCAAGUAACAUACCGAUGACAAAGGGAACGACGUAUGUUGUUAUGCGGUCUGACCGAUAAAGAUCUUCGUAGAAUAUGUAGGAGCCAAUAUGAGCAUCCAGGUUCCGCUAUUAGUUAUUGACCGGAGACGUGUCUCGGUCAUGUCUACAUUGUUCUCGAACCCGCAGGGUCCGCAUGCUUAAGGUUUCGAUGACUGUUAUAUUAUGAGUUUAUGAGUUUUGAUGUACCGAAGUUAGUUCGGAGUCCCGGAUGUGACCACGGACAUGACGAGGAGUCUCGAAAUGGUCGAGACAUAAAGAUUGAUAUAUUGGACGGCUAUAUUCAGACACUGGAAGUGUUCCGGGUGAUUUCGAAGAAAACCGGAGAGCCGGAGGGUUACAGGACCCCCCCCCCCGAGAGAAGUAAUGGGCCAUAUGGGCCUUAGUGGAGAGAGAGAGAGGGGCAGCUAAAGGUGGGCCGCGCGCCUCCUCCCCCCCUGGUCCGAAUUGGACUAGGAGAGGGGGGGCGCCCCCCUUUCCCUCUCCCUCCCCACUUCCUUCCCCCUCCUAGUAGGAGUCCUACUCCUACUAGGAGGAGGACUCCUCCUUGGCGCGCCUAUAGGGCCGACCGGCCUCCUCCCCUUGCUCCUUUAUAUACGGGGGCAGGGGGCACCCCUAGACACACAAGUUGAUCCACGUGAUCAUAUUCUUAGCCGUGUGCGGUGCCCCCUUCCACCAUAGUCCUCGAUAAUAUUGUAGUGGUGCUUAGGCGAAGCCCUGCGACGGUAGUACAUCAAGAUCGUCACCACGCCGUCGUGCUGACGGAACUCUUCCCCGACACUUUGCUGGAUCGAAGUCCGGGGAUCGUCAUCGUGUGCUAGAACUCGGAGGUGCCGUAGUUUCGGUGCUUGAUCGGUCGGGCCGUGGAGACGUACGACUACAUCAACCAAGUUAGCGCUUCCGUUGUCGAUCUACAAGGGUACGUAGAUCACACUCCCCCCCCCCCUCUCGUUGCUAUGCAUCACCAUGAUCUUGCGUGUGCGUAGGAAUUUUUUUGAAAUUACUACGUUCCCUAACAUUAUCAAUAUGUAAUGUGCCAGUAUACAUUGAUAUUAUACUUACCAUCCAAUUUUUAGAAAGGAAGGGGUCCGAAGCUCGACACCCCGUCCAAUGGGCUUAACUCUCAAAAAACUUCAGGGCAUACUUAACAUGGAGAGGUCUAUGGACAAUGAUUUUCAACAUGGUCGUGCGUAUACUGGCAUGUACCGAGGGAGUAGUGUUCACAGACCCUCCUAUACACUUCAUGGAUCUAAAAUUUUGUGUAGGUUAUGAUAAUUCUUCAUUCAAUAUCAUUAGUAUCAACGUGUUUCUAAAUAGUUUUUUACUUGGUCCAUGAUGUGGGAUUCAACCCGAGAUCAAAAGUUCUGCGGUAAGGAAACUAUUUUGAUUUUGGCAAUUUUGUUUGAUUGCUGGCCUGGGAUAGACAACAACAUCUCAUCGUGAAACAUGGUAAGUAAAGUCUUUUGUCCAUUGUUUGUCAUGGUUUAUUGUUGUUUCUAAUAGCUACCACUUGUAGAUUUAUCUUCCAUAUGAAUCCAUCGGUCAAUACAUCUUGUAUGUCAUCGACAAAGAGGCACGUCGUGUAUCUAUUUUGGACCCUACUCAUACAACACAACCAUCAGAGAUGAAAAUUCUAAGGCACUUGGUGAAAUUAAAAAGUUUUGCGAGGGAAUUCAAAGAAGCACUCGAAAUAAAGCAACCAGGAUGGCAUUCCGAUAUAUCCAAGUGGCAACGUUUAUUUCAUAAGGGUAUUCCAACAAGCGUGGACGGGUAAUAAAUUUAGAAUACAAACAUUAUUUUGUUAUCACCAUAUUUAAUAUAAUAACAAUUUAGGAAAUUGCAAGGAUUUGUCUGGCUAUUUUUUUUCAUUUUAUGCUCUUGUGGAACGGUAAACACUUUCACGUGAGUAUUGUGUGUUACACAUGUUUUUAGAUCUUCCAUGUGAAGUAUUCAUGCCAACUACAUAUAUUUGUUUUGCAGGAUGGCUAUGAGUUGAGGAAGCAGUUCCUAAUAUACUUGCUCAAACAUCAUGUGAAUGAAGCUGAAGACAACUUUCCUGAUAUUCUGCAAGACCUUCUUAAGGGCAUCAAGUAGAUCCCAAUAAUUUGUAAUAAAUUUUUAGUUGAAUCAUCACUUCAUAUGUAUACAUUGUCAAUUUGCCAUUUUGUUAUCAAUUUACAUUAUAAAUGAAGUGGACUUCAAUUAUUAUGCAAUUGUAACCGUGUUAUAUUAUCUCUACAUGUGAAAUUUAGCAUGCAUUAUCUUCAUAUAACUUCAGGAAAACAUUUCAAAAGCCUGUGGCAACGCACGGACAUUCUACUAGUCUCAACUUGUUUGGACUAAAGGUUUUGUUGUUGUUGUUGUUGUUGUUGUUGUUGUUGUUGUUGUUGUUGUUGUUGUUGUUGUUGUUGUUGUUGUUGUUGUUGUUGUUGUUGUUGUUGUGCGAUAUGCUUUGUACUUGCGGUGAAUUUUUGUAAUAGAUCUGAUCAUACUUGCAAAAAAAAGAUUGAAGAAUGUUUGAUGUGGUACAUUCAAUUCAAAAAUAUUUUGUUGCUCGUAUUAAAUGUUUCACUUUUGAAGGAAGAAGUGGAAAUGUUACAAUAGUAUAUGAACAGUGUUCCACCCAAACUUUUGUGGCAAACUUAUGUGGAACGUGUAUUUUCAUGUCGAAUAGUACAACACAAUAUCACCCACUACUGGAAUGAUAUCAAAAUAGUGAUGGGAUAGAAAACUAAUACUACUAAAAGUAAAAUACUUUUUGAACCAUUUGAUGGAUAUCAGUAGUGAAGUAUAUUAAAGAAAUCAACCUGUGUUAAAAGGAAGAAUAGAAAGAAAGGAAAUAAAUACAAGAAUGGAUACCCUACGUGACUUUCGUGCUGCAAAUGCGCUGUCAACUUAUUUCCAUUGUUAAGAAAAUACUACAUCUAUACCAAAAUAUAUGACGUUUUUGUAGGCUAACUAGCUAAAAAAAGUCUCAUAUUUUAAUGCCUGGAAAAUGUCUUAUACUUUGAUACGGAGGGAGUACAUGCAUAGUGUGUUGCAAAUGUGCGCUGUGCCGCCACUCCAUGUGAGAUCGACUCUUUCGAGCUAGAUUCAGCAAGUGCUCCCCUAACAGCAAUGGAGCCAAAUGUUUAAUUUCAUAAGAUUUCAUUUCCUCCAAAAUCCUACAAAAUUCAUUCAAUCAAAAGAAGACUUAAAAGAUAUGAUAAUCCACAAAUGAGCCCAAUCUCCCAAUGAACAAUAAAAUAAAUAAAAAUAGCAACACAAACUUUUUUUGACGAGCAAGAUGCUUGAGUGGGCUAGGAUCAUACAUAUUUCCAUGAUGAAAGGACAUACAAGGAGCUCGUGGCCAAAAAAAAAAUCAAGUCUCCAAAGUGCUUUUUUUGAAGUUUCUUUGAGAGCAGGCCCUUUCACCAUGAAAAUUUGUGCGCACUACAGUCAUACCAUAUUAGAGCAACUCCAGUCGUGCCCCUAACAAGCCUCCCAACGCGAUUUUUUAGCGCCGGCGCCUGAAAAUCGGCCCAAUCGCGCCCCCAGGAUCUCGUUUAUCACUGGUUCGGGCCGAAAUAGCAGCCGGCGAAUCCGAGCCGAACCCAAGCCCCCGGGGGUCGCCUGGGGGUGCCGGCCAAAGCGAAAAAGGGAGUGGGUCCGCUUUGUCGGCGAGAGAAGGCCCUUUUCUCGCCGUUUCCCCCCGCUCCCCCUCCCCCGUUUCCCUCCAUCCCCCCUCCCUCCUACCAUUCUCCUCCCCCCUCCAUCCGGCCGCCAUGUCACCGAAAAAGUACAUGCCCCCUCCCCCCGAUGCCGCUACCGAUGCCAACGCCACCGCCACCACUCAGUCGAAGCAGAGGAAGCAGAAGGCGCCAUCGUCCAAGCCCCGGGCAUGUCUAACGCCGACAGGAAGGCGGAAGUUCAGCGCCGGGAGGCUGUCACCACCGACCGGCGAAACAGGGCCAACGCCAAGAAAGCUCGGGACAGGGCGGCGGUGGCGGCGGUGGCGGCUGCGGCCGUGGCGGAGCAGGCAGAUCGCGCGGCCGAACAAGCCGAGGCAUCUCGCGCGGGGAUGAUGAAUCCACCCGGUGGCCACGGCCCGUACGCGUCCUGGAGCCAGCAGAGCGUCGGGUCUCCGGCCAACUUCUCGUCGUCGCCACACCCCUGGGGUUGCACUCCCUCGCCUGGCUACGCCGACGGCGACGAGCACGGCGGGUUCAACCCCAACAUCGCCUUUCCACAUGGUCACCCGGCCCAGCGCACGCCCUCACCCACGUUCGUCGGUGUCCAAUACCCCACGUACACCUACUCGCCGCCGGCCUAUGCAUCCUCCCCGACGCCACCUCUGCGUCGUGGCGCGUUGCUCUUCUCACAAGCCUCCUUGUCGCAUCUCGGCGACACCGACGCAACGGAGGCCGACAUGGACGACAUCAUCACGACCGGCUCGGCCGCCGCCGCCUCCCUCGGGUUCACUACCUAAGAUGAUACAAUGGACCUCCAUGGCGAUAUGGAGGGCGAGCUCGACUACGGCGAGGAGGAGCCAGAGGAGGAGCCGGCGCCUGCUCCGGCGAGGAAAGGGGAAAAGAAGAAGCGGGCGGCCAGGCCCGGCGAGCCGCGUGUCAAGUGGGCGUCCAAAGAGGACGAGUGCCUCGCCAAAGCGUGGAAAAUCGUCUGCCUCGACCCGAUCACCGGCACGAACCAGAACAGCGCCAACAUUGAGGGUCGGGUAUGACACGCCGGUCUCUCGCUCAUUCUUUCGCCCUGGUGCGCCGCCGACUGUUGUUCCUCGGCGCAGAUGGUGCGAUGUUCGCCAUGCAUCGCCAGGACAGCGGCACCGACCAAGAUUUCAAGUACCCACGUGUUUCUCGGAUCGAGAAGUGCGAGAAGUGGGCGGAAGUCCGGCGCACCCUCGCCAAGGCCAAGGAGAUGUACAAGCCGGACGCGCCCACGCCGAGCGCGUCCGAUGGGCGCCCGGACGGGAACAAGCGAGCCAAGUCAGCGAAGGACACCGCGUGCCUGUAAGAGUCCAUCGUGCAUCGCCGACGCCCAGACCCGCGCCGCCCAGAGGGAAGAGAAAACUAAGGCAUAAUGGUCGGCAUUGAUGACGAACAACGCCGUCAAGCUCGACCUGCUUCGAACCAACAUCACCGCGAAGAAGAGGAACACCGACCUGGCUUUCCUGAUGAGGGGGGGGGGGACAUGUCGGCGAUGGACGAGCAAGUCAAGGCGUGGUACCUGGCGGAGCGUGGCCUCGUCCUGAAUCAGAUGUCGUCGACGGCGGCGCCAACUCCCACGCUUACCCCAACGUCGCCACCAAGCCCGAGCGAUGAUGCCUCCAUGACGCCCAGCAUAAAAGCCGCGCCGAUGCCGACCAGCCCGCGCACGCCGACUCCCGGCAGUCCGACGCCGGAGGCCGCCGCCGCUGUUUGAUGCACUGCGUGUGCGUCCUUUCUUUUGCACGCCAAACUUUUUAUUGAUCGCUAAUCGCCGGACUUGUGGUGUUUUUUGGUAGCGGGAAUGAACAAGUUUGAAUUUAUGACGCCUUAAGGGCGUGGCUGGGACCAAAUCGCCCCAGGGCCUAAAAAUCGCCGGGCGAGCGUCCGAAAUAGCGUCGGCCUAUGCACUGGGGGCCGAACGAGUGGAGUUGCUCUUACUACACAGAAUUUGUGAGCUUGAUGUUUCUUGUGAUAUCAACUACUGCGCUAAUUUCAACUAUGUAGUUAUUGUCCCAAAUUUAAGAUGUGUUGAGAUUAACUAAUUAUUACUCCCCUUUUUUUAGAGAUUACAAUAGGACUACAUACAUAGCAAAAAUGGGUGAAUCUACACUAAAAUAUCUCUAUACAUCCAUAUGUAGUUCUUACUGAAAUCUUUAAAAGGAUGAAGCAAACAGAAUUACAGAACAAAAUAUAGUAUUACAUGUUAGUUUGAUUACUAUGCAAGGAAGGCACAAGAACCUAUAACACCAGAGCCACUAGACAGACAGAUCCAGAUGAGAAGAUGAUGCCGAAAAGGCAUAGGCAAUUUGCAGGGGAAUCAGAAUGUACAGAUGUUCCAGCAAGACACAAAAUAUAGCCUUGGAGAGAGAAAAGAAGCCUCAAAAUGAAUUAGAAUAUAUUGUAGCAUUAUUAUUCUUUGGGACCCACAAGGGGCAUCCCUCACAAGUUGCACUAGGAAAAACACAGACCAGACCUCUGGUACAUACACUUCAGUAAUAAGAUUUAAAAAAAAGCCAAAAGGGGGGAAUUUUAUCAUCCUGAUAACAAGAGCUACCACACAAUUCAACGAACACUAAAGCAGUUUCUACUAUACGAACAAAAACCCAAAAAAGGGGUGGGUCUAUAUNNN